UUUUUUUUCUUUGUGGUAUCUAGCUCUUUCUUUGAUCUGUUUGGAUUUAUUGGGGUUUACAGUGUGCAGAUUGAUCCUUUUCCAAAUAGCUAACUGAUUGCACCAGCAUAUCUUAUUCGAUAACCUUCUUUUCCUCCCAUAUAGGAAUGUCCUACUUAUCCUAUAUUACAUUUUUAGAAUAAAUGAGUUUAGAAUAAGUUUUUAUUUAUUUAUUUAUUUUUAAAGAAGUUUGGCUUUGAUUUAUUUUAUUUUUGCUUUUUAGGGCUGCACCAGUGGCAUCUGGAAAUUCCCAGGCUAAGGGUCGAAUUGAAGCUGCAGCUGCAGGCCUACAACUGCCUCAGCAAUGCCAGAUCUGAGCCGUGUCUGUGACCUAUACCACAGCUCAUGGUAAUGCUGGAUCCCUAAUCCACUGAGAAAGGCCAGGGCUCCAACCUGCAUCCUCAUGGGUACUAGUCAGGUUUGUUACCACGGAGCCACAACAGGAACUCCAAGCAUUGUUUUUAGGUUACCUAUUCUGUUACACUGACCUGUUUUUUUUUUUUUUCCUUGUAUCUGUAUCACACUGUUUUAUCAAUCAUAGCUUUUUCAUAUGCUUAAGUAGCCUCUCAAUUUCAACAAUACUGGGGUUUCUUUCACCUAUUCAUUUUUCAAGUGACUCUGAGAACCAUUCCAUAAAGUUCAGAACAACAAUGACCAAUUGCGAUUUAAAAUUCAAAUAUCACCGAAACAUUUGAGAAGACAACAUAGUCUUUCUAACCGCCCUGAGGGCUCGUCUCUCUAUCUAUGCAUCUCCUUUUAUAGUUUGUGGGAGUGUUUCAUAGUUUCUCAUAUGCAUUGUUUAGCUGUCUCUAAAAUUAUGUGACUGGAUGCCUAGAGAAGUAGAAACAAUAAGGCAAAAAAUAAAUUUGGAUACAUUAAACAUAAUACCACCAUUUUUUUUUUUUAGUGAGAGAAGCUACCUUUUGACGCGUGCUAUGACCAUGGUGGCUAUGGGAUCAGCCUUUAAGUGAGUCAAGUGAGGAAAAUAAUUUGCCUUGUUAUUGUACACAUCGUGCAGGUGUAUGUGCAUGUUUUGUACAUAUUUACACAAAGAUGGGGUAGGGGUUGAGCCCUCUACAAUCUAGAUUAUCAUGAUAGGCGGGAAUGGAGUGAGCAGAGGAAUGGAAGGCAGAUAGAUGUUAACUGCCACCCCUCCCCCACCCCCAUACACACAAAAAAAGAAAAAGAAAGUUGCUGAAGUUGGCAGUUACCUCUAUGGUGGCUGCUGGUUACUCAGUUGCCUUUUUAGUUCCAGAAGCAGUCCUAGGAGGCCCAUGGAGGCACCCGUCAGGAGGGUGGGGCUGGGGCUCACUACUGCAGCACAUUCCACUCCUCUCCACCUAUGAGGGCGUAGGGGAGGCAAGGCUGCUCUGGGCCCUCUUGGGCAGGGAGCUCUGAGGGUGGCCAGUGCCUCCUUCGCCUCAGCCAACAUCCUGUUCCUGGCCAGCCCCUCGCCCCUUAUGGAGAUCUGACUGCUCAGCCUGGUGGGUCCCUCUGGAUUUGGUCCCUUCUCCACCCCCACUCUGCCUGUUUCAGGAAGCCUUCCUAGGCUGUCUCGGUCUGUCACAAUUGGCAUGAAUGUGGGCAGAACCCAGCCCUAUCCUUUGGCACAGAAACAGGCUAGCAGACUUGUGACGUGAUGGGGAAGAGACCCAGCUUCCAUGUGCGCCAGGCUGGGCUCGAAUCCCAGCCCUGCUACUUAUCGGCUGGGCAGCCCUGGACAAGUUUCUUACCCUCUCUGAGUUUCAAUUUUCUCAUGGUAGAGUGGAAGUCAGAGGGCUGGAGUGAGGAUUAGAUGUGGGGAGGCCCAGUUCUGUCCUUGUAUCCCCUGCUAGUCAGGGUCAGAUGCUGAGGAGAUAGAUGAGGGAGCAGACAGAGUGGCCCCAGCCUAGGGCUCCCCCAGGCACUCACGGGAGGGAAGGAGGCAGGAUACACACACCUGGUAGAGCCUGGGUGAGGGAACAUUUCCAGCUGGAGUCACCCCCAAAGCUGCCUGAAUGGGGCCCUGAAGAAAGGGGAGAAAAAGGACAGAAACAUUGUGGGCAGGGAAAUCUCCAAGCAUGGGACAGCAGCCGGGAGGCCUGCCUGGCAGACGGGGGGCUGGCUGGGGUCUGGUCAGUGACAAGCCUGACUGGGUGGCAGGACUGACAAUUCUGGGGCAACAGCAGGGAGGGUGGGGGAGAAAGGCCAUGAGCUCUGGGAACUGGGAGGAGGCGCUGGACCAUCUGAGGACAGAUCUUAGCUCCCUCACCAGGGAUUUGGGGUAAACAAAACCUCUCUGGCUUGUCUUUUUAUGGAUAAAAUAGGGGUAAUUCUAGAACCCUCCUCAUAGGGUUUUGAAAAUAAAAUUAAGCUGGUUCAGCACCAAGGAGCUCUCCCUUGCUCCCCUUUGAGAUCUUACAGUCCUUCUGGUGUCCUGGCUGCUUACAGGGCAGAGGAAAGAGCACUGACUAGAAGGCGUGCGGAUCUGGGUUUAAGGCCUGCCUCUGGUUAGUUGAGUGGAGAUGGGCAGCCUGGAGCCUUCUCCAUGGAUGGUUGUGAGGAUGAAGGGUACUCUCACCUCUGCUACUGUUAACACCCCCACCUCCCACCGGCCGCAGCCUGGGGCUUCUCCGAGCAGCUUGAGCAGUGCCCGAGCCAGCUGCACAGUGUGAGGCAAAGGCCGGCUGCCCAGCCCUGGAGCAGGCCCAGUGUCAGGAGGCUGAGGAGGAUGAACCUGAACGGCUCAGAGCCUGAGGGAGGGAGGCCUGUAGAGCCCUCAGCUUGGGGAGCAUGAGUGGCCUAGUCCUGGAAGGCUGUGGCAGCGUGGGUAGGAUGGUUUCAGAUAUGCCCCUGGCAGCAUGGAGCAGGCAGGAGAGGUGCUUAGGGGGAGAGGACGGGCCAACGAUGAAGCGCAGGCCUGCAGGUUUUCACUCUGCCUAACCUCCAACCCUGGUUCCAGGACUCCAGCUUGGGGAGUGGUGGGUGGUGCUGAUGGCCCCACAGAGCAGAGAGCUCUGCUCCCACUUGGCAGAGAUGCAAAGCCCUCUACUCCUGAGGCCCCAGGCCCCAUUCACCAUGCACAUUCCCCAGAAGCCCAGGCGCCCCACUUGCACUCUCAAACGGAGACCACCGCCAGUGCAGCUCCGCCUUCUGGUUGCUUUCACACACCUUCCAGAGGGUGAGGGAAGAGUUAGUUGGGAUAUGUGUGUGAGAAAAGAGUUAUCUAAAAAUCACCAGGAGGUCAGGGGUUGCACACAGGCAGCCUGUUUUCACUCAGAGGUUUGCAAAUUUGUGAGAACUGGACCUUGGCAACGGAUUCCUUCCUGCCACCUUCCCCCCACUCCCUACUGUGUGAAAUCCAAUUUUUAAGUUUCAGCUGUUAAUUACCUUGAGCUGUUCCUCCUGGCAACCUGUGAUCCGUCACCUGCAGUUCUCUGCUCCUGAGGCACUAACGAAAUUCCUUCCCUCGUAGAGCGCAGGCCCCCUUAAAAGGAAGCAUAAUUUACUGGGCCUUGGAGAGCAGGCAAAGAGCUCCCAGAGCAGAGGGCACACACUCAGUGCCAGGAACUGGACAGCUUCUCGUGAUGGUUAAUGCCAGGUGGGAAAGAAAUCAAGAUUCUUUGUGGCCUGGGUUGAAAGAAGUCAGUUUACAGGCCUGUGGGAGCCAAAGGCGCUAUUCAGAUGUCAGUGGUCCCUCACCUCUGGACAAGCCCACAUCAAAGGGAAGAGUGGUCUUCCUGAGGACCUGCUAAUGGAAUUGCAAGGGAUGGAUCCCAUGCUGGGCGAGGUGAUGGGGGGGAAACAAGGUCUCUCUCCAGUUAUACCAAAGGACAGAGUGAUCCCAUUGGUGGCCUUGCUCUACCUCACUUGGAGUCUGGCUUGGGCAACCCUGAACUGGUCCCACCACCCAGGCCUGUAUCUUCAGGGGCCUCAGUUGCUACUCAGACCAGCAGAGCAUUAGACCUUGACCUAAGCCUAGUGUGCUCCAUCUCUGUGAUGUUGAGACCUCUCCAUCCCAGCUGUUUGUUUCUGUCUUUGGUUCUUUCCCUCCAGAAGCCCGUGUGCUGCACUCACAGCUAGGGAGGCUAAUGCCCCGACCCCUCUCCAGCAAGCAAGCUGAGGCUGGAGCAGGCAGAAGCCAUGUCCCUCGGGACUUUUUCUUGGCUUUGCUGCUGACCCCUCAAGGCCCAGGAAACAGAGAGAGCUCUGAGGCCCACACCAAUGUGGGUUCUGCCUUCUCAGCAGCAUAAAAGUCUGGCAAUCACUUUUCUGGAAUAUCCUUUAAAUACCAUGUCUGCAAAUUCCAGAGCGCUUGCUAGUGGAGAGAAGCAGAAACACUGGGCUGGAGACAGUAUCCAUGGUAAGGGGUUUAGAGCUCUAAAAUCUGGUCUAAAUUUAGAGUCUACAUGUCUGCACUUUCAUCCAUUCUACUCUAAUAAUGUGGCAGCUGUCACUGCCACUGCCCACUGCUGACUCGUCCUGCCUGAGCCUGGUGGCCUCCUCUCUCUACUGAAACAUCUGCACAUUAGCUUGUCCGCCUUUGUCAGGACACUGUGUGUGACCAUAUGCCUUAAGGAACAAGCAAAAGAUAUGAACUGUGUGGCAGAUGAUGCUGUACAAAGCCCUGUCCUGCUCAUACUGUCCGCAGAGCUCUGAGAUCUGAGGCUUAGUUACAGCCAGCUAACCACACCUCCAGCACACAAUACAAAGACAGGAAGUCUGCAUGGUGGCUGGUCACCAGGGGGCGAGCUCACACAGCAAACCCACAGCCUUGCUGGCUCUGGGGGAAGGCUCAAGGCCUUUGCCACCCCUUCCAUGCCCAGUCUUCUCGAUCUAGGGAGGGAAUGAAGAAAAAAUACAGCCCAGGUCAGCAGGGAGGAGCAUCCAAGAGCGCAUGCAUCCUAGAGGUCAAGAUAUAACCAUGUCUGCAACCACUACCCACCCCACCUCCGGCAGGUCUGCGUGGGAGAGCUGCUGAAAGGACAAGCGCUUGUCCAGGUUUUAGUGUAUAUGAAAAUGAAUUUAUUUACACAGUAACAUGAUGCCACAGAGAACACAGCAAAGUACCACAGCAAACCAAAGGGUGGUGCCACCUGGUGACAGAGGGGACCUUUCAUUGGUAGAUUUAUAAAACGCUAAAAUAUGUAAGAAGAGAGGUGAAGCUCCAGGAAAGAGCAAAAGAAACAAGAGUUUCAAAAAGAGAGUAUGGGCAGAACCAUGGGGAAUGAAAGAGAGAGUGGAAUGAGGACUGCCACGCGUCAAAUCACUGAGAAGGACAACAUCUUGCUUCUGCCCUCAUCUCACGCCAAAAUGCCCGGCAUGUCAUCAACAGAAUAUCCCAUCCCAGUGUGUUCACCCUCAACACCCUUUAAAACUUACGGGAACGGAUAACCAAGUAGUAUUUGGAGAAAGUUUCCUGAAGCCGUGUGGUUUAUCUUUCAAAGAUGCUACCCUGAAGCCAUUAGGGCUGGUUCAACAUUCAAGUUAUCAUGAGCACAGACACACACACACUUUCCACACACUAUACGGGCAAAGUGGAUUUCCCAUACUAUAAGAUUUGUAGCAAAAUAUAUGACUCUGUACUUCUGCUAGGUUAAAAAAUGUCCGACCUCUUUUGAUUCCCUGAAACUUUCUUG
This 5657-nucleotide long non-coding RNA is filed under the name Sus scrofa (pig). Its description in RNAcentral is "lncRNA (ENSSSCG00000056123.1)". Lineage: Eukaryota; Metazoa; Chordata; Mammalia; Artiodactyla; Suidae. The record is from RNAcentral.